AUUGAACGCUGGCGGCAUGCCUUACACAUGCAAGUCGAACGGCAGCACGGGAGCAAUCCUGGUGGCGAGUGGCGAACGGGUGAGUAAAGUAUCGGAACGUGCCCAGUCGUGGGGGAUAACGUAGCGAAAGUUACACUAAUACCGCAUACGAUCUAUGGAUGAAAGCGGGGGAUCGCAAGACCUCGCGCGAUUGGAGCGGCCGAUAUCAGAUUAGGUAGUUGGUGGGGUAAAGGCUCACCAAGCCGACGAUCUGUAGCUGGUCUAAGAGGACGACCAGCCACACUGGGACUGAGACACGGCCCAGACUCCUACGGGAGGCAGCAGUGGGGAAUUUUGGACAAUGGGCGAAAGCCUGAUCCAGCCAUGCCGCGUGCGGGAUGAAGGCCUUCGGGUUGUAAACUGCUUUUGUACGGAACGAAAAGGUUUGGGCUAAUAAGCUGAGCUCAUGACGGUACCGUAAGAAUAAGCACCGGCUAACUACGUGCCAGCCGCCGCAGUAA
RNAcentral lists this ribosomal RNA (500 nucleotides) under uncultured bacterium. RNAcentral describes it as "partial 16S ribosomal RNA". It matches the Rfam family "Bacterial small subunit ribosomal RNA", at positions 30 to 523 of the family's 1533-position model. The record is from RNAcentral.